UUUAUUGGAGAGUUUGAUCCUGGCUCAGGAUGAACGCUGGCGGCGUGCCUAAUACAUGCAAGUCGAGCGAAUGGAUUGAGAGCUUGCUCUCAAGAAGUUAGCGGCGGACGGGUGAGUAACACGUGGGUAACCUGCCCAUAAGACUGGGAUAACUCCGGGAAACCGGGGCUAAUACCGGAUAACAUUUUGAACCGCAU
Molecule: ribosomal RNA, 197 nt
Filed under: Bacillus cereus
Lineage: Bacteria; Bacillati; Bacillota; Bacilli; Caryophanales; Bacillaceae
Description: partial 16S ribosomal RNA
Rfam family: Bacterial small subunit ribosomal RNA
Source: RNAcentral